GUGUGCCGGGAGAUGGCCACUGAGACAAGGACCCAGGCCCUACGGGGCGCAGCAGUCGCGAAAACUCCGCAAUGCACGAAAGUGUGACGGGGCUACCCCGAGUGCUCUCCGCUGAGGAAAGCUUUUCUCUGGUGUAACAAGCCAGGGGAAUAAGGAGAGGGCAAGACUGGUGUCAGCCGCCGCGGUAAUACCAGCUCUCCGAGUGGUAGGGAUGUUUAUUGGGCCUAAAGCAUCCGUAGCUGGCCAAGUUAGUCCUCUGUUAAAUCCACCGAAUUAAUCGUUGGAGUGCGGGGGAUACUGCUCGGCUAGGGGACGAGAGAGGCCGACGGUAUUUUCGGGGUAGGGGUGAAAUCCUAUAAUCCCGGGAAGACCACCAGUGGCGAAGGCUGUCGGCUAGAACGUGCUCGACGGUGAGGGAUGAAAGCUGGGGGAGCGAACCGGAUUAGAUACCCGGGUAGUCCCAGCUGUAAACGAUGCAGGCUAGGUGUUU
RNAcentral lists this ribosomal RNA (490 nucleotides) under uncultured archaeon. Its description in RNAcentral is "bacterial SSU rRNA". It matches the Rfam family "Archaeal small subunit ribosomal RNA", at positions 284 to 776 of the family's 1478-position model. The record is from RNAcentral.